This 445-nucleotide ribosomal RNA is filed under the name uncultured eukaryote. RNAcentral describes it as "bacterial SSU rRNA". It matches the Rfam family "Eukaryotic small subunit ribosomal RNA", at positions 250 to 691 of the family's 1831-position model. The record is from RNAcentral.
ACCACGGUGAAAUGACGGAGUCGUCGGCCCCCGCGCCGGCGACUCGCCGAAUGAGUUUCUGACCUAUCAACUCGAGACGGCGGGGUAGAGGCCCGCCGCGGUAACGACGGGUAACGGGGAAUCAGGGUUCGAUUCCGGAGAGGGAGCCCGAGAAACGGCUACCACUUCCAAGGAAGGCAGCAGGCGCGCAACUUACCCUAAUCUCGAUUCGAGGAGGUAGUGACAAGAAAUACCGAUGCGGGACCCUACGGGUGCCGCGUUCGGAAUGAGUACGAUUCGAACCACCUAACGAGGAACGAUCGAGGGCAAGUCUGGUGGCCAGCAGCCGCGGUAAUUCCAGCUCCAAUAGCGUACGUUAAAAGUUGCUGCAGUUAAAAAAGCUCGUAGUUGAACGUUCGGGUUCCGCGGGACGGGGCCGCCCCGCGAGGGACGGCGCCGCCCGGGC